CUGUGGAACCUGGAAGGAUCAGGAUUCCUGAAAAUUUAAACCAGAACUCAGAUAUUCCAGUAAUUGCUCAUCAAGUGCCCACUAGUAGCUAAGCAUCUGCUACACAACAGCAUACAAAGUCUGGAAGGUCCAAAUUGGAUGUUUACUUGCAGUGAAUAUGUUUUUAAUGGUUUGUUAUAUUCAGAGGAUCAUAACUUCAAAGAUGGUCAUCAAUUAAUUCACAAAGAUAAUGUCAGAAGCAGGAUCCAAAGUGGAGCUUCUAGUGACCCCCAGGAGUGCUGAGUAAACACGCAAGGUACCUGCAGGACCCACUUGUGUCCAUUGAUCUCUCAGAGCAGCUGGGCAUCGUGGGUAAAGACCUUCACAAUCGGGAACCCGUAGAUUGGAUCUUCUGAAAACAUCAGAGAAAGACUAUCUUUGCCAUCCACACUACAGUAAAACUUUGGAGCCUUGAACCUUGGAUUUAUAAUCUCACAACUGAGAAGGGUCCCUCCAUACUCCUGGAACUGUACACCCAUUGGAACUCUUAAGGAUGAUAUACAUGGCCAGGUGAAGACAGUAGAGAGAAAACAGAACUGAAACCAGAGAGCCCUCUACAGAAGGAUGUAAUGGAUAAUUAUUGGUAUACAGUGAGGUUCAUAACCAAAAACAAAAGUUCUCUCCAUGAGACCUGGAAUCUGUAAACUGUCUUCUGGCUAAGGAAUCUGAAACUUAGGAUAAACAACUUGCCUAAUUUCUUAUGAUGGAGAUGUAAUAGUGGUUGGAAUUUGGACCUAUUCCUUCUGAUUCUGGAGCUCACCAGUUAACCACUCUGCUAAACUGCCUCCCCAAGAGGGAAUCACAAGUUCAAAUUCCAGGAGAGUUGGAUCAGCCUUUCCUCUCUGGCAGCCAGGCAAAGCGAGGGUCAUGCGAUCUACUCAGCACUUUGGGAUGUGACUUCAAAACCAAAGAACAAGGUGCACAUUUUGAGAAACGUGUACUCCUUGUUUAUGUGGCUGCUUCUUUAACAGAGUGAGGGAUAUGUACUUACUGGACACAGUUUUGGUUAGCCCAGCAUCACGUUUUUUUCUGGAAACCUCACCCCACUUUUUAUGUGGUUGUAGGAAUUCCCCCACCCCCUGCCAGUACAACGGCUCUUCUUUGGCUCUAGUGGAUUGGAACAGGGCAGGCCCCUCCCAAGAGCCAGUGACCAAGUAUGGUGGGGACAUUGAGGCAGACCUAUUUCUGAGAAACACAGAAAUUUGUUGGGCAACUGUAUUGCCCAACUUUGGCUCAAAAACUCCAUGAUGACUUUGCUGAACUUUCCUUAGACCAUAGACCCACCAAAAAUGUUUCCAACCAAUCUACUCUCUCUCUCUCCUUCCCUUGGGGUUAGGCUUGCCUUGCAAUCUGAUGGCUUUGCCUAUCCUCCCCUAUUUCUGUUCACACAUUAAUUCCCCCUAAUAAAACCCCUGCUCAUUUAACACCUUCUCAUCUUCUGUUUCUUGGAGGACCUCAUCUUAUGCAUCUGGUUUAAAUCCUAGCUCUCCCACACAGUAGUCGUGUGACCUUUGAUAAUCACUACAUUGUGCUGUCCUCAAUUUCCUCUUCUGUAAAAUGAAAGUGUGGGGUAAGAGCACCUACAUCACAGUGGUGUUAUAAUUGGAUGUAAUAACCCUCAGUCAUUUACCUGGCAUGCGGUAUAGUUGUAUGCAGGAGAGUCUACUGUUUAGAAAAACCUUGAACCUAAUUGUUAGCACCAUCAGUCUGUUCUGGCUUGUGUGCUGUAAGAGCCCUCUCUGGGUCUACAUUUGCUCAAGCAUUGAUGUUCUGUAGAGUAAAUUCUGCAUGUUUGUCUCUCCACUAAAACAUAAGUUCCUUGAGAGCAGGUAGCAUAUUUCCUUCACUUCUAUAUCCUCUCCAGAUCCAAGCAAAGUGUUUGAGCAAAGUGGCAAACCAGGAAAUGCUCAUUUAAUGGAUGCGAAUUUCCUGCAGGAAUGAUGGAAUGGAGUUCAGGUCAACAGCAAAUAUUGCAUGGCUGCUUACUUUCUUCCUGUGGUAUUCUCUACAAGGACAAAUAGCACAGAACCCCCUGCCAUCUCAUACAAGUGACAGAUUGUAUAUGCGUUGGCAAGCUUGGGCUUGAAGUUUUUGGUGACACAAGACUGGCUUCUACUUCAGGAGACCAACUUCUUUUUCACAUAGCUCCAAUUUUCAGAGACAUUCUAUAACAAGUGAAGAGAUGAAGGAGAAAACUGGCUUGGGCCCAAUAUUCAGUAUGGUUGGAAACCACUUCAAGGAAGAGGUGCAAAUAUAUUCUAACUUAGAAGGAGGUAAGAAUCAGCAGAAAAGAAGGAAUCUUUGGAGAGCCAAAACCAUCUCUACACCAAAUUGAGAGACUGGAAUUAUAAGGUGAAUGCAAUUAACUGGCAGUCGCAUCCAUGUUGAGAACACAGUCAUCCCUUUAAUAGAGAACAUUUGCUGUGCUUGACAAACUCACAGUGAAAUGGUUGGAUCCAUAGGAAGCAACAUGCUGAAAAUGGUUUCAAUAUGAUCCUGUUUUUUCACUCAAUAGCCAUUGAUUGAGGGUGUCCAGCCAAAAACAAUGAGAAAAUGAGCCAACAAUAGUCUUACCCUUUGACCAUAUUAGAUAAAGUCGCAGCUGAAAUUUGUUAUAUGUUUCAGGAAUAACAAAGCAUCCAUAUGGAACAUAUAUUUGGCAGUGUGGCAGCUGAUGAAACCAGGAAAAUUAGACAAAUUAUCAAUUGCUCGCUCCCAAAUUACCCCAAAAAGAAAUUAGAUCCAUUUUCAGUAGCUUUGCCUUCAAAUUUCUUCAUUCCGUGAGUCACCACUACCUUCUGCCAAACUAAAUAUGUCUAUGAACGGCUGGAAACUUUAAUGGAAAGAAACAUAAAACUCAAACUACGUAGGAAAAUUUAAGCUUCUUCAUGGAAGAUCUUCGUGGAAGACUAGCAAGUUAGGAAUGUGUGAAGACAGACAACACAUCGAUAAUUCCUUUUGUUUGGGGUCACUUCUGAGUUAGAGAGCAAUGCAACAUGCUGGCUUGACUUCAAAUUAAAAUCAGCUUUUUCCUUUAUUUCUUUUGUAAGCCUCCAAUCCCUCAAACUACUAGGGUUUAUUAAGGUACACAGUCCUACAGUCAGGUCGAUCAGAUUUGGGAUAAAGAGACUUCAUGAUGUUAUCCGAUGGAUGGUAGAAAUUAGUAAAUGAAGAUUUCAUGAAUGGCUAA
Molecule: long non-coding RNA, 3229 nt
Filed under: Homo sapiens (human)
Lineage: Eukaryota; Metazoa; Chordata; Mammalia; Primates; Hominidae
Description: HSALNT0370129
Source: RNAcentral